AAUGAACGCUGGCGGCAGGCCUAACACAUGCAAGUCGAACGGGUGCCUUCGGGUGCUAGUGGCGGACGGGUGAGUAACGCGUGGGAACAUACCCUUUGGUACGGAAUAGCCUCGGGAAACUGAGAGUAAUACCGUAUGUGCUCGAGAGAGGAAAGAUUUAUCGCCAAAGGAUUGGCCCGCGUUGGAUUAGGUAGUUGGUGGGGUAAUGGCCUACCAAGCCGACGAUCCAUAGCUGGUUUGAGAGGAUGAUCAGCCACACUGGGACUGAGACACGGCCCAGACUCCUACGGGAGGCAGCAGUGGGGAAUCUUAGACAAUGGGGGAAACCCUGAUCUAGCCAUGCCGCGUGAUCGAUGAAGGCCUUAGGGUUGUAAAGAUCUUUCAGAUGGGAAGAUAAUGACGGUACCAUCAGAAGAAGCCCCGGCUAACUCCGUGCCAGCCGCCGCCGUAA
RNAcentral lists this ribosomal RNA (451 nucleotides) under uncultured bacterium. RNAcentral's name for it is "partial 16S ribosomal RNA". It matches the Rfam family "Bacterial small subunit ribosomal RNA", at positions 29 to 523 of the family's 1533-position model. The record is from RNAcentral.